RNAcentral lists this ribosomal RNA (1516 nucleotides) under metagenome. RNAcentral describes it as "bacterial SSU rRNA". It matches the Rfam family "Bacterial small subunit ribosomal RNA". The record is from RNAcentral.
AGGGUUUGAUCCUGGCUCAGAACGAACGCUGGCGGCGUGGAUUAGGCAUGCAAGUCGAACGAGAAAGGGUCCUUCGGGGCCUGAGUAAAGUGGCGAACGGGUGAGUAGUACCUAGGUAACCUGCCCUGAAGACUGGGAUAACGGCUGGAAACGGCCGCUAAUACCGGAUGUGGCAAUCUGCUGCAUAGUGGAUUGUCAAAGGUAGCCUCUGCAUAUGCUUCCGCUUCAGGAGGGGCCUCGGGCCUAUCAGCUAGUUGGUGGGGUAACGGCCUACCAAGGCAUUGACGGGUAGCCGGUCUGAGAGGAUGGUCGGCCACACUGGGACUGAGACACUGCCCAGACUCCUACGGGAGGCUGCAGUCGAGGAUCUUCCGCAAUGGGCGCAAGCCUGACGGAGCGACGCCGCGUGCGGGAGGAAGGCUUUCGAGUUGUAAACCGCUGUCACCUGUUACGAAUCGCAACGAGUGAAAAGGUCGUUGCGUGACGAAGGCAGGGGAGGAAGCCACGGCUAACUUCGUGCCAGCAGCCGCGGUAAUACGAAGGUGGCGAGCGUUGUUCGGAAUCACUGGGCAUAAAGCGCGCGUAGGCGGCUUGGUAAGUCGGAUGUGAAAGCCCUCAGCUCAACUGAGGAAAUGCGUCCGAUACUGCCGGGCUUGAGGCCUGGAGGGGAGUACGGAAUUCCUGGUGGAGCGGUGAAAUGCGUAGAUAUCAGGAGGAACGCCGGCGGCGAAAGCGGUACUCUGGGCAGGUUCUGACGCUGAGGCGCGAAAGCUAGGGGAGCAAACGGGAUUAGAUACCCCGGUAGUCCUAGCCGUAAACGAUGGGCGCUAGGUAGUGGAGGUCCUAUUCCACCACUGCUGGAGCUAAUGUUUUAAGCGCCCCGCCUGGGGAGUACGGCCGCAAGGCUAAAACUCAAAGGAAUUGACGGGGGCUCACACAAGCGGUGGAGCAUGUUGCUUAAUUCGAAGCAACGCGAAGAACCUUACCCGGGUUUGAAAUGCUGGUGGUAGCGCAGGGAAACCAUGCGUGACCUUCGCAAGAAGGAGCCAGCACAGGUGUUGCAUGGCUGUCGUCAGCUCGUGUCGUGAGAUGUUGGGUUAAGUCCCGUAACGAGCGAAACCCUUGCUGUUAGUUGCUACAGGUUAUGCUGAACACUCUAGUAGGACUGCCGGUGUCAAACCGGAGGAAGGUGGGGACGACGUCAAGUCAUCAUGGCCCCUACGCCCGGGGCUGCAAACGUGCUACAAUGGCGGGUACAGAGGGUCGCGAAGUCGCGAGACCAAGCCAAUCCCAAAAAGCCCGUCCCAGUCCGGAUUGGAGGCUGAAAUUCGCCUCCAUGAAGUUGGAAUCGCUAGUAAUCGCGGAUCAGCCAUGCCGCGGUGAAUAUGUUCCUGAGCCUUGUACACACCGCCCGUCAAGCCACGGGAGCUGGGAGUGCCCGAAGUCGUGAUCCCAACCGCAAGGAGGGUAGCGCCGAAGGCAAGCCUGGUGACUGGGACUAAGUCGUAACAAGGUA